Molecule: ribosomal RNA, 897 nt
Filed under: uncultured bacterium
Lineage: Bacteria
Description: bacterial SSU rRNA
Rfam family: Bacterial small subunit ribosomal RNA
Source: RNAcentral
GAACGCUAGCUACAGGCUUAACACAUGCAAGUCGAGGGGAAACGAUAUUGGAAGCUUGCUUCCGAUAGGCGUCGACCGGCGCACGGGUGAGUAACGCGUAUCCAACCUGCCCACCACUUGGGGAUAACCUUGCGAAAGUAAGACUAAUACCCAAGGAUAUCUCUAGAAGACAUCUGAAAGGGAUUAAAGAUUUAUCGGUGAUGGAUGGGGAUGCGUCUGAUUAGCUUGUUGGCGGGGUAACGGCCCACCAAGGCGACGAUCAGUAGGGGUUCUGAGAGGAAGGUCCCCCACAUUGGAACUGAGACACGGUCCAAACUCCUACGGGAGGCAGCAGUGAGGAAUAUUGGUCAAUGGACGAGAGUCUGAACCAGCCAAGUAGCGUGCAGGAUGACGGCCCUAUGGGUUGUAAACUGCUUUUAUAAGGGAAUAAAGUGAGUCUCGUGAGACUUUUUGCAUGUACCUUAUGAAUAAGGACCGGCUAAUUCCGUGCCAGCAGCCGCGGUAAUACGGAAGGUCCGGGCGUUAUCCGGAUUUAUUGGGUUUAAAGGGAGCGUAGGCCGGAGAUUAAGCGUGUUGUGAAAUGUAGACGCUCAACGUCUGCACUGCAGCGCGAACUGGUUUCCUUGAGUACGCACAAAGUGGGCGGAAUUCGUGGUGUAGCGGUGAAAUGCUUAGAUAUCACGAAGAACUCCGAUUGCGAAGGCAGCUCACUGGAGCGCAACUGACGCUGAAGCUCGAAAGUGCGGGUAUCGAACAGGAUUAGAUACCCUGGUAGUCCGCACGGUAAACGAUGGAUGCCCGCUGUUGGUCUGAAUAGGUCAGCGGCCAAGCGAAAGCAUUAAGCAUCCCACCUGGGGAGUACGCCGGCAACGGUGAAACUCAAAGGAAUUGACGGAA